UUUAAAUAUGGGACAAUGGUGUUUCAGCCAAUCGCCGAAACAUCCCCAACUAUUCACACCCCCAAAACAUCGCAUUCAACUCUCUGUCUCCCACUCGCUACUCCUUACCUUGCCGAUCACCUCCGCCUCUACCGCUGUUAGAGUUGCCAAUCGCCGCCAUCGCCGCUAGUGGUGUCGAUCGUCACCGCCACCGCCAGCGCCACCGCUAGCCCUACCCUCCUCUUAGAUCGCCUCACCGCUUGGCGAUUUGGUACCAAAAGAGUAUUGAGCUCCUGAUCUUGGAGCUUCCAUUCAAGAGGCUUGUCCAUGAAAUUGCUCAGGACUUCAAGUUCAUGGGUCUUUGUUGCAAGUGGUGUCUUGAUAUGACUGGAUGGCAAGUGGUGUCUUGAUAUGAACUGCAUCAUGUGGACAAGAAACAUUAGUGGCAUAGUAGAUUGUCCACAAAUGUUGAGCUCAAAACUUGUAUUCUUAGUAGUAAACAAACAAUAUUAAAUUUUAGAUGUUAAGUUGAGUGAGUUUGUGGCUUGGGAUCAAUUUGAGGGAGUAUUUGAAUUCAAUAGAGUUAAUAAUAAAUUGUGAUUAGUUUGGUUUAGGUUAGAUUUUUGCAUCUUUUUAUAAGUUGAAUAAAUGAUACUAAAUAAAAGCUAAGAAUACUU
Molecule: non-coding RNA, 656 nt
Organism: Camellia sinensis
Lineage: Eukaryota; Viridiplantae; Streptophyta; Magnoliopsida; Ericales; Theaceae
Source: RefSeq, a predicted model, not a curated record